CCCAAAUUCCUACGGGAGGCUGCAGUAGGGAAUCUUCCACAAUGGGCGAAAGCCUGAUGGAGCAACGCCGCGUGUGUGAUGAAGGCUUUCGGGUCGUAAAGCACUGUUGUAUGGGAAGAAAAGUUAAGGUAGGGAAUGACCUUAGCCUGACGGUACCAUACCAGAAAGGGACGGCUAAAUACGUGCCAGCAGCCGCGGUAAUACGUAUGUCCCGAGCGUUAUCCGGAUUUAUUGGGCGUAAAGCGAGCGCAGACGGUUGGUUAAGUCUGAUGUGAAAGCCCGGAGCUCAACUCCGGAAAGGCAUUGGAAACUGGUUAACUUGAGUGCAGUAGAGGUAAGUGGAACUCCAUGUGUAGCGGUGGAAUGCGUAGAUAUAUGGAAGAACACCAGCGGCGAAGGCGGCUUACUGGACUGUAACUGACGUUGAGGCUCGAAAGUGUGGGUAGCAAACAGGAUUAGAUACCCUGGUAGUCCACACCGUAAACGAUGAACACUAGGUGUUAGGAGGUUUCCGCCUCUUAGUGCCGAAGCUAACGCAUUAAGUGUUCCGCCUGGGGAGUACGACCGCAAGGUUGAAACUCAAAGGAAUUGACGGGGACCCGCACAAGCGGUGGAGCAUGUGGUUUAAUUCGAAGCAACGCGAAGAACCUUACCAGGUCUUGACAUCCUUUGAAGCUUUUAGAAAUAGAAGUGUUCUCUUCGGAGACAAAGUGACAGGUGGUGCAUGGUCGUCGUCAGCUCGUGUCGUGAGAUGUUGGGUUAAGUCCCGCAACGAGCGCAACCCUUAUUGUUAGUUGCCAGCAUUCAGAUGGGCACUCUAGCGAGACUGCCGGUGACAAACCGGAGGAAGGCGGGGACGACGUCAGAUCAUCAUGCCCCUUAUGACCUGGGCUACACACGUGCUACAAUGGCGUAUACAACGAGUUGCCAACCUGCGAAGGUGAGCUAAUCUCUUAAAGUACGUCUCAGUUCGGACUGCAGUCUGCAACUCGACUGCACGAAGUCGGAAUCGCUAGUAAUCGCGGAUCAGCACGCCGCGGUGAAUACGUUCCCGGGUCUUGUACACACCGCCCGUCACACCAUGGAAGUUUGUAAUGCCCAAAGCCGGUGGCCUAACCGUAAGGAGGGAACCGUCUAAG
RNAcentral lists this ribosomal RNA (1139 nucleotides) under Leuconostoc carnosum. RNAcentral's name for it is "bacterial SSU rRNA". It matches the Rfam family "Bacterial small subunit ribosomal RNA", at positions 330 to 1461 of the family's 1533-position model. Lineage: Bacteria; Bacillati; Bacillota; Bacilli; Lactobacillales; Lactobacillaceae. The record is from RNAcentral.